RNAcentral lists this long non-coding RNA (1787 nucleotides) under Strigops habroptila (Kakapo). Its description in RNAcentral is "lncRNA (ENSSHBG00005013063.1)". Lineage: Eukaryota; Metazoa; Chordata; Aves; Psittaciformes; Psittacidae. The record is from RNAcentral.
UUUUUUUUUUUUUUUUGCUUUAAAAAUAUGCUCUGGCAAAUUCAUUGAGCCUGGACCAUUAAAGAGCAACAGGGAACUCUGAACAACAGGUGCUUGUUUUACAGCUACUGCAAAUGCUUCAAAAGCACUAAAUUGCCUUUUACACUCAACAAUCUAAUAACAAAGACUGAUUUUCUCCCUUUUUCUUCCCCUAAUUGAUUUGAUGGUUCACUUGAGCUUUAAAAACACAUUACAUAAAUCUUUAUGGCUAUUACAAAGUCUUUUGUCAAGUUUAAUUUGGUGUUUGGUUUUUUUUUUCUGCGGUGUAAUCAUUCACCCUUACACACAGUGCACCACACAUACACACACAUCGUGCUUGUCUCUGGAUCCACAGGAAUAGUAAGUUCUAGAGGUUUAUUUUGCAUGGGGAGGGACCUAAAUCCUUCCAAAGGCAGUUUGUCAUGGAAAGCUCCUGGUUCAGAGGUAUAUCGGAACAAGCGCUGAGCACUCCCAAAGGCACCUCCAACAACAGCUCUAUUCUUUCCCGCUAUUUAACUUUACUGUUACAACUUUGCUUGGUCUUGAUAGCCUGUGGUGGAAAUAUUAGCUAGGAUUAACUGAGAGCGUGGGAGAUCCAUCAGUACAGACCUCUCUCCCUGCUGCAGGAUAGAGGGGCAUGUGCUGCUCAGGAGGCAGCAAUGGAGAGCAGGAGCCGGUAGAAAAGCAGUAAGUGUUGAAAAGCCUUCAGGAACACAAUUGGGUACAAAACCCCAACACCUGAGCAGAUGGAAUUAUCUUCACCAGAAGAAGCAGAGAGGCUGUUAAGUGCCAGGCUUCCUCAUCCUUCUUUCUCCUGACCCCUGGGUGUCCAGAUGCCUUUUCACCGUCCUGUUUUUGAAGUGGAGGAUUUCUAUCACUCUUCCCUUUCCUAGCCGUCCCUGCUGCCAUGGUCCAUGAGGAAAGCCUGGCCCUGGAGGUGCACAGGGCCAGGCCUCACUUUGUAGAAAAUGAAGAAGGAGGGGCUGAUAGAAGUAGGAUGCUCUCACUGCUCUCCCACCGAUUACCUCUCUCGGCGUUAUGACCACUCAGCAAAGUGCUUGGCUCUCUGAAGAACGCGACAGCGUAGACAGGGCUUGGCACUGUAAGGAGAAGUUGGGGUUGUGCUCGUGAGGGAGCUGGAGAUGAAGGAGUAAAUCAGAAAGAACCCAGUUAGAUGCACAGAGGUGUAUCUCCACCCUGAGCUUCUCAGGACCGGGAGCCCAGUGAGCCUCUCAGUUGCUGGUUUCAGGUGCAUUUGGUGCUCAAAUAUCUCAUGUGCACCCACCAGAAAUUUUGUGGAUUCUGCUUUUGCGGCCAGUGCUGUAAAUCUGGAGUAGCAACACUGACUUCCCUGGCUGUGUUUGGAGCAGCAUAGAACCUGGCUUCAUGUCAUAACCGCUGUAAAGGCAGGAUGGGUCAGAUUCCCUGGUGGAGCACGACUGAGCAGUGGGAGGCAGCACUCUAUUAAUGAAGCUAUUAUUCAAACGAAGAAGAAAAGAGAGGGGUGGCGCUGCUGGUGACACUGCCCGGCGUUGCUGGGGGUCACAGUAAGGAGAUCCGCACGGCCAGCAGGGACAGCAGAGCUGGCAGCAGGGCACAGCUGCUGCGCGGGGCCAGCGGUGCCAAGGGGGCCGUGUUUCGGAGCAUGCACUCCACCCUGGACCAGGAGCCAUUGUUGGGCAGCGGCUGUAUCCCUGCCAGGCUGCACAUGAUGUUGUAAACAUCCACGGAUCUGAUGGGAGGCGCUCGGAAGUUGGAUCGGAAAUCUG